GAUGAAGAACGCAGCGAAAUGCGAUAAGUAAUGUGAAUUGCAGAAUUCAGUGAAUCAUCGAGUCUUUGAACGCACAUUGCGCCCCCUGGUAUUCCGGGGGGCAUGCCUGUCCGAGCGUCAUUGCCGCCCUCAAGCACGGCUUGUGUGUUGGGCCCCCGCCCCCCGGCUUCGGGGGGCGGGCCCGGAAGGCAGCGGCGGCACCGCGUCCGGUCCUCGAGCGUAUGGGGCUUCGUCACCCGCUCUGUAGGCCCGGCCGGCGCCCGCCGGCGACCCCAAUCAAUCUUUCCAGGUUGACCUCGGAUCAGGUAGGGAUACCCGCUGAACUUAAGCAUAUCAAUAAGCGGAGGA
This 348-nucleotide unclassified non-coding RNA is filed under the name soil metagenome. Its description in RNAcentral is "partial contains 5.8S ribosomal RNA, internal transcribed spacer 2, and large subunit ribosomal RNA". The stretch from base 1 to 120 matches the Rfam family "5.8S ribosomal RNA", at positions 35 to 154 of the family's 154-position model. The record is from RNAcentral.